GACGAACGCUGGCGGCGUGCUUAACACAUGCAAGUCGAACGGAAAGGCCUGCUUUCCCUUGUGGAUUGCGGGUGCUCGAGUGGCGAACGGGUGAGUACCACGUGAGUGAUCUUCCCCCAACUUGGGUAUAAGCCUGGGAAACUGGGUCUAAUUCCCGAUAGGACUGCAGGGUGGUGCCUGUGGUGGAACACGAUUUUCUAGUGGUUGGGGAUGAGCUCGCGGCCUAUCAGCUUGUUGGUGGGGUAAUGGCCUACCAAGGCGGCGACGGGUAGCCGGACUGAGAGGGGGGACGGCCACACUGGGACAGGGAUACGGCCCAGACUGCUAGGAGAGGCAGCAGAGGGGAAUCAAGCAGAAUGGGCGGAAGCCUGAUGCAGCGAGGCCGCGGGGGAGAUGACGGGCUUCGGGUGGUAAACUCCUGGCGACCGAGAGGAAGCCGCCUGGUUGGAAGGGUGGUGACGGUAGUGGUAGAAGAAGCACCGGCUAACUACGUG
RNAcentral lists this ribosomal RNA (494 nucleotides) under uncultured bacterium. RNAcentral's name for it is "partial 16S ribosomal RNA". It matches the Rfam family "Bacterial small subunit ribosomal RNA", at positions 28 to 507 of the family's 1533-position model. The record is from RNAcentral.